CUCAUGUUGUGGCCCUCAAGUGGGGAAAGAUUUUCUGUUUUCUGAUGGAGAAAGUGCUUCCCUUUUGAAUGUCUCUGUUUGAG
This 83-nucleotide microRNA precursor is filed under the name Dasypus novemcinctus (nine-banded armadillo). Its description in RNAcentral is "miRNA (ENSDNOG00000026725.1)". Lineage: Eukaryota; Metazoa; Chordata; Mammalia; Cingulata; Dasypodidae. The record is from RNAcentral.